Molecule: unclassified non-coding RNA, 211 nt
Filed under: soil metagenome
Description: partial contains 5.8S ribosomal RNA, internal transcribed spacer 2, and large subunit ribosomal RNA
Source: RNAcentral
AACACUGUUAACCUGCGGUACCUGCGGAGGGAUCAUUAACAAGCUGUGGGAGAUCGAUCAAUUUGAUCUCACACCUGGCCAACCUUGUUAACCUUAAAUAUAUUGCUUUGGUGAGCCCUGCUCACCAAAGUCAAACCCUAAACUCUUGAUUGUUUCUGCUGUCUGAGCAUGCAAGUGCAAAAUUUAGUUAAAAACUUUUAACAACGGAUCU